AGGGACAAAAAAAUAAAUGGAGAAUAAAUAAAUAACUUUUGCAUGUUGAGCAAGAAAAUGUACAUGUCGGAAAAAUUUUAAUAUCAUUUAAACAAUGUUUUAAUAAAUUAAUUUAAAAACUUAAAUAAAAUAAAAAUCAAAUAAAAUAUUCGAAAAAAUAUUAGCAAUGCUGCACAUUUUAAACAAACAUUUAUUUUGUAGGCACACAAAGGC
RNAcentral lists this long non-coding RNA (213 nucleotides) under Elaeis guineensis (African oil palm). RNAcentral's name for it is "long non-coding RNA (EGUI_LNC043678)". The record is from RNAcentral. Lineage: Eukaryota; Viridiplantae; Streptophyta; Magnoliopsida; Arecales; Arecaceae.